GCCCGCUCCACUACGUCUCCCACUAACACUGCUGAGUGCUGCCUGCUCUUUGACGACUCAACCUCGAAUGCCCGUUAUUUCUAAUUUUCCAUGUUGCCGUGAUCAGUGUGAUUACACUGUUUCUAUGGCGUGGAAACCCAUCUUGAUCAAGCUCAAGGAUUUGCAGAAGGAUCCCUUACAUUUGGCUCAUUUGAUGGUGAUGGCUGCUGGGGUCUAUAGCAAUUCGUUGGGUUAUCGGGUUUAUUGGUUUCAGUUUUCAAGUUACUCCUUUCUAUAAUUUUAUUCCUCCAAAUCUUCUUGAUUCAAUUAGGAUCAUGAUGCAUCAUGGUUUUAUUGAUGUGUUUUAGGAUUUGGCUGGUGGAGGCUGCAGUCCGGAAUUAGAAUGGGUAGAGCUUCUGCUUUAUUGGUUUCCACUGCUUUCAAACUUUUUUCUUUUACUUGCCUUUUUGGCUGCCUAGUGCCUACUAUGAUCUAAGUUAUAUUGAUUUGUGGUGGUGAUGAUUUACAAUAGUUUUUGUUCCAGGCUUUAUUGGCUUCACCGUUUCAGUGAUCAACUCAUUCCUUCUCAUUUUAUAUUCUGCUUCCUUAUUUUGGGCCACGUCUUAGAUUUCAGUGGAUUAAGUUUCCAUUGCUCUGUUUUAUGCUGUUGGUUAUGGUUAGCUCCAUGUGCUGUGGCUUUUUUGGUUUCCAAGCUGAACUGUCUUCUUAUUUUCAUAGUAUUAUUGUUGGUGUAUUUUGGCUGAUAGUUUGGAUAGCUGCAACUGCUGGACAGGACUUAAAUUGUGUGUUUCAGCUUUAUUUGGUUUCGGCAAUCAACUUGUCCUUUCUUUAAUUAUUUAUGAGUCCAAUCUGGGAAGAAAUUUUAAACUUAGCAUGCAGUCAAGAGAUUGUUGAAGAUGAACUGGAACCUUGUGGUCCAUCUUGGUGAAGCUUAUUCUUAUGACUAAAAUUUGGAAAACAUAUUGCUAUGGAAAGCUUCUAUAUAUUGGAACCGAAGAGUAGCCUCUUAAAUGAAGAAGUAUAUGAAUUGUAAUUAAAACUGAAAAGUUAUUCAGACCAUACAGUAAAUAUCUUGGCGAAUAUGGGUAGAGGUCAUGAAGGGCAGAGAAAUUCAUUGUUUGGUCUAUGAUCCUAGAGGCAGAGAUCUCUUCUGCUGAGCUGACAAGUACAAUGGAAAAGCUUUCGAGGAACAUGGAGCAGAUUGAGGGUCAAGUUGCUACUGUCCAAGGCUAUACUGUAUAUAAUUAUGGUGAUGGAUGAUGAUAUGCCUGAGGAUAAGGACGAGGAAGAACACGAAGAUGAGGAAGUAGUUUAUAAGGCCACAAUUUUAAUAUUUUGAUUUGGUAGUAUCUUUUAGUGAACAUGUUUAUGUUGUUGUUGUCUAUUUAGUAUAUUGAUGUUGGAUAUUGGUUAAUCAAUGCUACAUCUCCAUAUAUUUUUUCUUGGAAUAAA
Rosa rugosa (rugosa rose) is the source of this 1452-nucleotide long non-coding RNA. RefSeq lists it as uncharacterized. The record is from RefSeq and is a predicted model, not a curated record. Lineage: Eukaryota; Viridiplantae; Streptophyta; Magnoliopsida; Rosales; Rosaceae. The transcript has 4 exons.